GGGGGUGUAGCUCAGCUGGGAGAGCACCUGCUUUGCACGCAGGGGGUCAGCGGUUCGAAUCCGCUCAUCUCCA
Molecule: non-coding RNA, 73 nt
Organism: Moorella thermoacetica ATCC 39073
Lineage: Bacteria; Bacillati; Bacillota; Clostridia; Neomoorellales; Neomoorellaceae
Source: Rfam